This is a non-coding RNA of Caerostris darwini, 85 nucleotides long. NCBI's taxonomy places the organism in Eukaryota, Metazoa, Arthropoda, Arachnida, Araneae, Araneidae. The record is from the annotation of a GenBank genome assembly.
GUUCUCGUUAGAUCACCGAAGUUAAGCAUCAUUGGGCGCGGUCAGUACUUGGGUGGGUGACCACCUGGGAACACUGCGUGCCGUU